RNAcentral lists this ribosomal RNA (253 nucleotides) under uncultured bacterium. RNAcentral's name for it is "partial 16S ribosomal RNA". It matches the Rfam family "Bacterial small subunit ribosomal RNA", at positions 524 to 776 of the family's 1533-position model. The record is from RNAcentral.
UACGUAGGGGGCUAGCGUUGUCCGGAAUCAUUGGGCGUAAAGCGCGUGUAGGCGGUCCGGUAAGUCCGCUGUGAAAGUCGGAGGCUCAACCUUCGAAAGCCGGUGGAUACUGCGUGACUAGAGUACGGAAGAGGAGAGUGGAAUUCCUGGUGUAGCGGUGAAAUGCGCAGAUAUCAGGAGGAACACCAACGGCGAAGGCAGCUCUCUGGGACGUUACUGACGCUGAGACGCGAAAGCGUGGGGAGCAAACAGG